GCUGUGAGAAAACAAAUGCUUGGACUCAAGGAGCAGAAAUGUAUUAUUUGGUCUCAUUUAAUUAGAGGAACUAAAGUAGUUAACAGAAGUGAGUCCUGUGGAUGAAGAGGCAGGUUAAAAUAGGUUUCAAUUUGUUUUGGAUAAGUGGCUAUACUGAGAUGGUUGCAUGUUUUACAGUGUAUUGAAGCAAACCCUGUGAAGAUUAGAGCUCCUGAAACCUAUUUCUAGAAAUAAGCUGUGACUGCUGUUUACCAGGCAGUGGGAUCCCUAAUGAUUCUGUGGUUUAACCCUGGCCAACAACUAAUGACAGCCACUUCCACUUCUCCCCUAUCCCCACCACUGCCAUGAGGGGAAGAGAAUUGGAAGGGUAAAAGUAAGAAGACUCUUGGGUUGAGGUAAAGACAGCUUAAUAGGGAAAGCAAAAGCUGUGCACACAGAGCACAAGGAAUUUGUUUCCUAUUUCCCAUGAGCAGGCAGGUGUUCAGCUGGCUCCGGGAAAGCGUGGCUCCAUUGUGUGUGGUGAUUACCUGGGGAAAAAGGUGUCAUCACUCCAAAUGCCCUCCUGCUCCUUCUUUCCUCAGCUUCAUAGGCUGACCAUGAUUUCAGAUGCUAUGAAAUACCCCUUUGGUCAGUUGAGGUCAGCUGUCCCAAAUGUGUCACCUCCCAGCCUCUUGUGCACCCCCCGCCUCCUUACUGGUGGGGAGGUGUGAGCAGUAGAAAAGGCUUUGACUCGGUGUAAGCACUGCUCAGCAAUAACUGGAGCAUGCCUGUAUUGCCACAGUGGUUUUAGUACAUACCCAAACACAGCCCCAUACUAGUACUGUGAAGAAAAUUCACUCUAUCCCAGCUAAAACCAGCUCAAAUGGCUAAUUCCAGUAUUUUCUCAAGUUGACCACUUGCCUGCCCUCUUUAGAGUGGUGAACUCAAUUGAUGAUGAUAUUUUUCCAUUAUUCUUUUAUCAUUUUGUUCUACAGGUAUAGCUUACUCUGAUUUCCUACUGCAAAUCCUGUUUCCACUUACUGAUCAUCUUCAAGCAAAUAUGUAAUACAUGCCAUAAUCAAUCUAUCUCAGUAUCCUAAUCAACUUCCAUUUAAAUGCGACACAGGUUUUAUGUCUGUCUGGAUUUGCUAAUCUAACUGAUAUAAUUUUGAUUUAUUAGAAAAGUUCUAAAUACUGUUACACUGUCAAUGAAAAAUAAGACUCCUGAAGUAGUCUGAAGAACAUGCAAGUUGAUAUUUAGCACUUAAAUUUUUUAAAUAACCCAUUUAACUAUAAAUAAUGUCAUUAAUACUUGAAGAGCAGACUACUUACUUACAAUGCUUAGCAGUGUAUUAAAAUUAUCUCAGAAUAUUUGAAUAGUGAUUUAAAUGAAAUGUUGAAAUGUAUUAAUCUUUUUACUCCUCAUUUAGGAAGAAUACAAUAAUGAAAAAAUGAAUGGUCUGAAAUUUGUGUGCACUGCUCAGAGAGAAGCUUGGAUAAUUCCUACUCCCGAAGGACUAUUUCUGUCAGGCCUUGUUAUGCUUGACUUGUACCUUUGUUGGGAACUGCUCUGUCAAAUUGGUGUUUAUUUGAUAUAUAUUUAAUUUCUCUUCAGUAAAUUUGUCCAAACACAUGCAUGAUGUGCACACAUGCCUGGUUGUAUGUUAAGAAGAUGAGCAGAAAGGGACACUGGGAGAUGUCAAUCCAUGUUUUGGGUAGUUGUGGCUGUCUGUAUGCUGAUAGGCAUCUUCAGCUUGACUGCACCUUCUACGAACAUUCGCUGGCUCCUGCCUCAAGGUGGAGCUCUUAUAUUUGCAAUGGAGAUAAAGACUUGAAGAGCAUUUUCUUCUCCCAAAUGCUGUUUCUGAUUUGAAUAGAUGUAUGAGUUAUAUCGGUAAAGAAAAACAGCGAGCAAUUUUCCUCCCCCUCAGCAAAAGCUGGAGUCAUCAAUGUGUCACACAGGUGGAUGGGCCUACAACACUGAUUUUUAUUCAACCUGACACCACCUUUUGUAGGCUCUGGAAGAUGCAUACCUUUCACUUACAGUAGGAUUAUGACAAUGUGUGCAUUCCAGCUGUCAAAGGCAGUGCUGUUCUUCUUGUGGCUCUUUGUAAUUGGGAAUGUUUUCCCAGAAGACAGUAUGUGUGUGUGUAUUGUGUUCCAAUUAAGACUAUAUGAGACGGUUAUGGCAGGCUGUCAAAUCAAUGGGACGCUGGGAAUAUUUUAGUCUCCAUGCUAUAGUCUAAAUAACCUUUUAAGGACUCUGUUCCCUCAAUGUGGUAAAUAAAUGCUGAAUGUUUUAUACUUAAUAGGCCUUGGAGUAAUGUGUUCCACAUGGCUUUAUUGCUGGAAUGAGACGUUCUUAUCACUAAAUACACAAUAGUGACAUGAGGUCAUUUCAGCAUGAAGAAAUGCAUAAAUCUUAUAGAUGAAUGAAGUCAGUUUAUUGUGAAGUUUAGUUAAACAGGAAUACUCUAAAGUAACCUUGGUGGCAAAUUUAAGGAAAGUGAGAGAAAUCCAUAAAUACUUAAUCUAGUCAUCUUUGAUCUCUCAGUUUAAUACUAUAAAUGUCUGUCUCAGCUGGAUUUGUGAAAGUGAUGCUCAUUUCCUGCCUAUUUAUAUUUCUUUCAGUGAGAGUAUCUUUAUUCUGGUCACUUAAAACAUUGACUAUAUAGUGCAUUUCUAAAACUUCUUUCUUCAGAGUGUAUGAAAAAAAUUGUGCCAAGCCUCUCUCUUAACAAGUGCAACAAAUGACCUGCUAUUAGGUCAUUUUGUGUGAAGUUUACCAGAAGUGAGAAGAAAUUAAAUUAGGCCCUGAAUAGCUUGUGCAACCUGAAUUGGGAGCAGGUCUGGAGGACUCUGCUGGGCUGGGUACCAAGUGCCCAUUGGUGAGGGGGUUCCCACUUUGAAGCCAGUGUUCUAUACAGAACUGGGUGACAUCCUUUUUGUUAAGAUGCUUACUCACCAAAAAAUGUGGCUUCUAAUUUCUGGCAGUAUUGGUAAAAUGGGAAUCAAUUAGCUUUGACUGGCACAAAAAUGGAAAAAAAAACGUUCUUGAAUGGUGAAACAUUUUAAUGUUCUGAAAGCCAACAUUUUGAUAAUUUGGGCCUAGACUGGGAACAUGGACACUUCAAGAUCAUGCACAAAAAUGAACGCAAAUUCCUUAUUUAUAUUCAAAUCUUGAUUUCUAUGGAUGUUUUAUUUGCAUAUUAAUGAUGAAUGGUUUUGUCCAUUUUGUUCAAUUGCCUCCAAGUUUUCUAUUUUUUUACCUGUUACUUAGAACUUAUUUUGUGCUUCUAAUAUGUGUAUUGAUUCAUGAAGGGAGAGAAUUCACUUUAAGUAAGUAUCCUUCAUCACUGUGACAGAUUGGUAAAAAAUAACAGCAACACUGAUUCAUAUCUUAGUGAUGUAAAUGAUAAUUCUGCUAUAAUUCUAAACCUAGUUCUUCUAUUAAAAUUACUGGGAUGCAAGUAGUUCCAGCUGGUUGAAAUAAUUCAGUUUUCCCCUAAAGAAUACUGAGCCUGAAAUAUGAAUAAGUAGGACUGAAAAUUGUGAUAGUUUGAGCUUUUUGCCUUUUUUUUUUUUUUUUUGAUUGAUUGUUUGGGGAGCUCUUCCUUGGGAGGAGUGGAGGAGUUAAUCCUUGUGUUGUGGAAUUAGUCUGUUUGCCUUAGUUGCCUUAGUCUGUGUUGGUUGUCUUGCACAGUGUUUUUCAGAAUAUUUAGGGACAUGUUUAAUACCCUUGAUGAGAACAGAUGUUGAAAUUCUCUGCUAACAGGAGUCCAAGGUAUUUGGCUGUGCAGUCAGUUCUUCCAAUUUACUUCUGUGUUUUCUAUGUGUUUUAGGUGCCCUGGGCCCAGUUUUUGAGUAAUUUUGGUUCCUGCCUCAUAUCCUAUUUAUGGUUCUUGGAUGGUUCAUGUCUGUGCUGAGAAAGACAAAGAUAAUUCCUUAUAGCAAUAUUUAAAGUUAUUUGAAACUAAUUGCAGGCUAUCUGAAACCCAGAGCACAGUUUUGUCAGUUUAUCCUGAGUUGGUGAGAAUUAACUUGGACUUGCUUUCAGACUAAGAAGCAACUGAACACAGCCUUGGCAGUUGUUAGGACUUUAUUGCAGGAUAAUGAUGAUGAUUAUUUAUUGUUGUUGUUCUAGUAUGCAUGCAUGAGUGCUUCCUCUUUGUUUUAUAGGUAAGUUUCUUAAUUUUAGAGCUUGUAUCCACCAAAAUUAAAAUUAAUGUGGACUAAACCUUCUAUCCCUGUCCCAUCUUUCUUCUCAGCUUAUUCUGAGAGCUUUACUUUCUGUAUUUCUGCUCAGCUUUUCAGAAGUGCUGUAGAGAGCAGCAUUUAAAAAUCAAACUGUCAGUUUCAGACCCUGCUCUUGCUUAUCUAUGCUGGUUCCAGCUGGCAGCUUCAGCUCAGCUCAGCUUGGAGUGGUUGGUGUUGUCAGAAGCAACCCUUGCUAUCCCUCUCAGCAAAAGUGAUCUGGAAAACAUGGCAGAAGGAAGACGAUGAACUGAAUAAGCUUCUAGUCAGCUAAUAAGGGUAAUGGCAGAGCAUGGAUAGAAGAUUUGUCCCUUCAGGAGAUGCUGAGAGAAGUUGUGGAGAGCUGAGCAAACAGGAGGAAGACUAGGGAAGCAGUCCGGGGGAGCUUGCUGGAAAGAAAAGUUGAUAAGUGCUGCUUCUGCUGUGUGAGGAGCCCAAAGAAGACUGCUCAUGAGAUUCCACAAAAAUGAGAAGAUCACUGAAUUGCACCUACCAAAAUUCAGGAAGGUCAUUAGGCAAAUAGAAAAAAGUGGAAAAAAUAUCGCAAUUCUUAUGUAAUGAAAAGAUGGCUAUUACCAGAUGCACUCCCAAUAUAAAUCAGAGUCUUCUUCAGGCCCGCUGAAAAAUAGAUUUCUGCUUCAUCCCUUGGUUUUGGGUCUCCAGUAUGGACAGAAGUUUCGCAAAUUCUGGCUGUAGCUGCUCCAAGAUGUGACAUUUUCCAGAAUAUUCCUGUAAUUACCAACAUCCAGUUUAUCACACCACAUGAAAGAUGUUAGGUAAUCUCACCAGUGGACACUACUGAAAUACACCUAGAACUGCCAAAUAUGGGCUGUGGGAAAGUCAAGACAUGUCUAGCAGAAGUAGCUGGAAAAGAGAAAUUGGUGCUGCUAUUAAAACUGAGGUUGUAUUUUUAGGUUCUUUCAUACAUUUGACUCUUUAUUCAGAGAGAGAACCAUUGGACAGUUUUAAUACUUGAAGAGAAUAAAAAAAAUCCAAGUGACCUUGCCUAAAACCACCUGUUUGUCACACUGAUGACUGAAACUUAGGACUUCUGAUUGUCAGGGGUUAAAGCAGAAUCUCAGCUUUUCACUGUCUCAACCUUCCAUGUCAUCUGUAAGAGUUAUGAUAAAUCUUUGCCUGCUAAACCUUACAUCUCUGGAUUUUCAUUUAAGGUUUUCAACUCAGCAAGAGGAUCAGAAUUUGAAAUACAUCAGGAGAAAGUGUUACCUGGUGAGAAUAUCUGAGCUGCUAGCACACAAUGUUAGUUCUAAUUUUACUUUCCUUUCAAAAUAGAAGCAGAGCAUUGUGUCUAUAGGACUCCUCCUGAGAUAUGGGCAGGGAUGGCUAAAAGAGCACUGGUUAAAAAAGAAGUCCAAUGUCUUACCUCCUUCCCCAUGCUCUGGGUGUCGGCCCAGGAGCCCCAGUGCUUGUCAGAAGCAUCAGCAUAAUCAGCUGUCACAGUUCAACAAAAUACUCGUCCCAACUUCACUGUGCUACAGCACCUGCUCAGGAACACUGGGAUUCCAAGAGCCAACACCUAAUCCUGCAGAAACCCAGAUUUCAGAUCUUACUGUAAUAUCUGAAAUGAUUGAUGGUAGACUGAUAAUCACAGAUAAGGUGCUUUGUUAGUCUAUAUCAAGUAAUCAGAGUAUUUAGAAACACAGGAACUGUGACAUCCAUGAUUUAGGCUGGAAGAAAAGUCAGAGGAAGUAUUGUGUGUUCUUGCUCUGUUCUUCUGCUCUUCCUGGACCUCCACAUUUGAUCAGCGUCAGGAGCAAAAUAUGAACUAGGCAGAUCUUUGUUGUGACUCGU
Motacilla alba alba is the source of this 6045-nucleotide long non-coding RNA. RefSeq lists it as uncharacterized. The record is from RefSeq and is a predicted model, not a curated record. Lineage: Eukaryota; Metazoa; Chordata; Aves; Passeriformes; Motacillidae. The transcript is spliced from 13 exons.